Molecule: unclassified non-coding RNA, 333 nt
Filed under: soil metagenome
Description: partial contains 5.8S ribosomal RNA, internal transcribed spacer 2, and large subunit ribosomal RNA
Rfam family: 5.8S ribosomal RNA (bases 1-120)
Source: RNAcentral
GAUGAAGAACGCAGCGAAAUGCGAUAAGUAGUGUGAAUUGCAGAAUUCAGUGAAUCAUCGAAUCUUUGAACGCACAUUGCGCCCUUUGGUAUUCCUUAGGGCAUGCCUGUUCGAGCGUCAUUUAAACCUUCAAGCUCAGCUUGGUGUUGGGUGACUGUCCGCUUCACCGCGGACUCGCCUCAAAAUUAUUGGCGGCCGGUACAUUGGCUCUCGAGCGCAGCAGAAACGCGUAACUCGAGGUCCUCGUGCUGGCUCCCAGAAGCUAUCUUCACAAUUUUGACCUCGGAUCAGGUAGGGAUACCCGCUGAACUUAAGCAUAUAAUAAGCGGAGGA